RNAcentral lists this ribosomal RNA (402 nucleotides) under Glaesserella parasuis. RNAcentral's name for it is "partial 23S ribosomal RNA". It matches the Rfam family "Bacterial large subunit ribosomal RNA", at positions 1311 to 1714 of the family's 2925-position model. Lineage: Bacteria; Pseudomonadati; Pseudomonadota; Gammaproteobacteria; Pasteurellales; Pasteurellaceae. The record is from RNAcentral.
GAUAAAACGAGUGAAAAACUCGUUCGCCGGAAGACCAAGGGUUCCUGUCCAACGUUAAUCGGGGCAGGGUGAGUCGGUCCCUAAGGCGAGGCUGAAAAGCGUAGUCGAUGGGAAACGGGUUAAUAUUCCCGUACUUGUCUUCAUUGCGAUGUGGGGACGGAGAAGGUUAGGUUAGCAGACUGUUGGAUGUCUGUUUAAGUUGGUAGGUGGGGAGCUUAGGCAAAUCCGGGCUCCUAUUAACACUGAGAGAUGAUGACGAGUUUCUACGGAGAUGAAGUAACUGAUACCACGCUUCCAGGAAAAGCCACUAAGCUUCAGAUGAAGAUAAACCGUACUGAAAACCGACACAGGUGGUCAGGUAGAGAAUACUCAGGCGCUUGAGAGAACUCGGGUGAAGGAACU